GCCAGCCCGCUCAGAAACUCAAAGGAAUUGACGGGGGCCCGCACAAGCGGAGGAGCAUGUGGUUUAAUUCGAUGAUACGCGAGGAACCUUACCUGGGCUCGAACGUAAGAUGACUGUAGGUGAAAGCUUACAUCUCUUCGGAGCAUUUUACGAGGUGCUGCAUGGUUGUCGUCAGCUCGUGCCGUGAGGUGUCGGGUUAAGUCCCAUAACGAGCGCAACCCUACCUUUAGUUGCCAUCAGGUAAUGCUGGGGACUCUAAAGGAACUGCCUACGCAAGUAGUGAGGAAGGCGGGGAUGACGUCAAAUCAGCACGGCCCUUACGUCCAGGGCUACACACGUGCUACAAUGGCCGAUACAGAGGGCAGCUACCUGGUGACAGGAUGCAAAUCUCCAAAGUCGGUCUCAGUUCGGAUCGGAGUCUGCAACCCGACUCCGUGAAGUUGGAUUCGCUAGUAAUCGCGCAUCAGCCAUGGCGCGGUGAAUACGUUCCCGGGCCUU
This 498-nucleotide ribosomal RNA is filed under the name uncultured Sphingobacteriales bacterium. RNAcentral's name for it is "bacterial SSU rRNA". It matches the Rfam family "Bacterial small subunit ribosomal RNA", at positions 885 to 1382 of the family's 1533-position model. The record is from RNAcentral. Lineage: Bacteria; Pseudomonadati; Bacteroidota; Sphingobacteriia; Sphingobacteriales.